This 119-nucleotide ribosomal RNA is filed under the name Pteropus alecto (black flying fox). The record is from RNAcentral. Lineage: Eukaryota; Metazoa; Chordata; Mammalia; Chiroptera; Pteropodidae.
GUCUAUGGCCAUGCUACCCUGAUCAAGUCUGAUUCUGUCUGAUCUUGGAAGUUAAGCAGGAUAAGGCAUGGUUUGUACUUGGAUGGGAGACCACCUAGGAAGACCAGGUGCUGUAGGUG